UACGUAGUGGGCUAGCGUUGCUCGGAAUCACUGGGCGUAAAGCGCACGUAGGCGGCUUUUUAAGUCAGGGGUGAAAUCCUGGAGCUCAACUCCAGAACUGCCUUUGAUACUGAGGAGCUUGAGUCCGGGAGAGGUGAGUGGAACUGCGAGUGUAGAGGUGAAAUUCGUAGAUAUUCGCAAGAACACCAGUGGCGAAGGCGGCUCACUGGCCCGGUACUGACGCUGAGGUGCGAAAGCGUGGGGAGCAAACAGG
RNAcentral lists this ribosomal RNA (253 nucleotides) under uncultured bacterium. Its description in RNAcentral is "partial 16S ribosomal RNA". It matches the Rfam family "Bacterial small subunit ribosomal RNA", at positions 524 to 776 of the family's 1533-position model. The record is from RNAcentral.